GCCGGCAGCUAGCUCUCUGCAACUGUCACGUGGUCGCCCACUGAAGCUAAGCAGGGCUGCGCCCGGUCAGUACCUGGAUGGGAGACCACAUGGGAAAGCUAGGUUGCUGCCGGAA
This 115-nucleotide ribosomal RNA is filed under the name Danio rerio (zebrafish). The record is from RNAcentral. Lineage: Eukaryota; Metazoa; Chordata; Actinopteri; Cypriniformes; Danionidae.